GGGAAAAUAAAUAUUAUUGGUUGGUAGUUAAUUUUUUUUUAUUUAUGAGAUUAAUUAUUUUUAGGUGAAAUUUUAAUUUUUUAAUAUUUAUAUUAUAUGAAGCUACGAAAUUUAUUUUAUAAACAAGGAUUAGAUACCCUUUUAUUAUAAAUGUAAAUACUGUGACCAGGGUAGUAUUAGUUAUGUACUUUAAACCCAAAGAAUUUGGCGGUAUUUUAGUCCUUUCAGAGGAAUCUGUCCCGUAAUCGAUAAUCCACGAGAUAUAUUACUUGUCUUUGUUUUCAGUUUGUAUACCUCCGUCAUAAGAGAAUCUUUUUAGAGUUAAAUUUCUUAAUACAUUUGGUGUAUCAUGUCAGGUCAAGGUGCAAUUUAUAGAUAAGUGGAGAUGGAUUACAAUAAAAUUAUUUAAACGGAAUGGAUUGUUUACUCUUUCUAUGAAGGUGGAUUUGAUAGUAAUUUUAAUUAUUUGUUAAUAUGAUUUUGGCUCUAAAAUAUGCACACAUCGCCCGUCGCUCUCAUUUUUAAAAUGAGAUAAGUCGUAACAUAGUAGAUGUAUCGGAAGAUGUAUCUAGAACGUAAA
This 580-nucleotide ribosomal RNA is filed under the name Hagenius brevistylus. Its description in RNAcentral is "partial 12S ribosomal RNA". The stretch from base 169 to 571 matches the Rfam family "Microsporidia small subunit ribosomal RNA", at positions 752 to 1303 of the family's 1311-position model. The record is from RNAcentral. Lineage: Eukaryota; Metazoa; Arthropoda; Insecta; Odonata; Gomphidae.